Molecule: ribosomal RNA, 224 nt
Filed under: uncultured Streptococcaceae bacterium
Lineage: Bacteria; Bacillati; Bacillota; Bacilli; Lactobacillales; Streptococcaceae
Description: partial 16S ribosomal RNA
Rfam family: Bacterial small subunit ribosomal RNA
Source: RNAcentral
CGUAGGUAACCUGCCUGGUGGCGGGGGGAUAACUAUUGGAAACGAUAGCUAAUACCGCAUAAAAUUGAUUAUUGCAUGAUAAUUAAUUGAAAGAUGCAAUUGCAUCACUACCAGAUGGACCUGCGUUGUAUUAGCUAGUUGGUGAGGUAACGGCUCACCAAGGCGACGAUACAUAGCCGACCUGAGAGGGUGAUCGGCCACACUGGGACUGAGACACGGCCCAG